UACGGAGGGUGCAAGCGUUAAUCGGAAUUACUGGGCGUAAAGCGCACGCAGGCGGUCUGUCAAGUCGGAUGUGAAAUCCCCGGGCUCAACCUGGGAACUGCAUCUGAUACUGGCAAGCUUGAGUCUCGUAGAGGGGGGUAGAAUUCCAGGUGUAGCGGUGAAAUGCGUAGAGAUCUGGAGGAAUACCGGUGGCGAAGGCGGCCCCCUGGACGAAGACUGACGCUCAGGUGCGAAAGCGUGGGGAGCAAACAGG
This 253-nucleotide ribosomal RNA is filed under the name uncultured bacterium. Its description in RNAcentral is "partial 16S ribosomal RNA". It matches the Rfam family "Bacterial small subunit ribosomal RNA", at positions 524 to 776 of the family's 1533-position model. The record is from RNAcentral.